CAACCAAAGCUGGCGACCGGCGCACGGGUGAGUAACACGUAUCCAACCUGCCGAUAACUCGGGGAUAGCCUUUCGAAAGAAAGAUUAAUACCCGAUGGUAUAAUCAGACCGCAUGGUUUGAUUAUUAAAGAAUUUCGGUUAUCGAUGGGGAUGCGUUCCAUUAGGCAGUUGGUGAGGUAACGGCUCACCAAACCUUCGAUGGAUAGGGGUUCUGAGGGGAAGGUCCCCCACAUUGGAACUGAGACACGGUCCAA
This 254-nucleotide ribosomal RNA is filed under the name uncultured bacterium. RNAcentral's name for it is "partial 16S ribosomal RNA". It matches the Rfam family "Bacterial small subunit ribosomal RNA", at positions 75 to 334 of the family's 1533-position model. The record is from RNAcentral.